AGGACAAACGCUGGCGGGGUGCAUGAGACAUGCAAGUCGAACGGGGUGCCAUCGGGCUUGCUCGAUGGUUACCUAGUGGCGGACGGCUGAGUAACGCGUAGGUGACCUACCCGGAAGUGGGGAAUAACUGCCCGAAAGGGUGGCUAAUACCGCAUGUGGUCGGCGAUUCGAUUCGCCGUCCAAAGGAGUAAUCCGCUUCCGGCGGGGCCUGCGUCCGAUUAGCUAGUUGGUAGGGGUAACGCUCACCAAGGCGACGA
RNAcentral lists this ribosomal RNA (257 nucleotides) under uncultured soil bacterium. RNAcentral describes it as "partial 16S ribosomal RNA". It matches the Rfam family "Bacterial small subunit ribosomal RNA", at positions 26 to 279 of the family's 1533-position model. The record is from RNAcentral.